Molecule: transfer RNA, 25 nt
Filed under: Strigocuscus celebensis (little Celebes cuscus)
Lineage: Eukaryota; Metazoa; Chordata; Mammalia; Diprotodontia; Phalangeridae
Description: partial tRNA-Pro
Source: RNAcentral
UGGGGCAUGAUUGCCUUCUUCUUGA